RNAcentral lists this long non-coding RNA (426 nucleotides) under Ananas comosus (pineapple). RNAcentral's name for it is "long non-coding RNA (ACOM_LNC020537)". The record is from RNAcentral. Lineage: Eukaryota; Viridiplantae; Streptophyta; Magnoliopsida; Poales; Bromeliaceae.
UUGGUUGUAUAUAAUUAUAACUACACUGUAGUAGAAAUUACAAAAAAAACCUCCAACUAUAACAGUUGAAACUAUACCUAAAUUGAUCGUACUUCUAACUACAGCAAUUGGAGAUAUUAACUUUAAACAAAAAAUAUAUUUACCUCCGUAAUUUUUUUCUAAAUAAUAUAUAUACAUACAGUGAUAAAAUUUUAAAAAUUAUUUCUUAAUUGUAUGCAAUCAAACAAAUUAUUUAUAGUUAUAGUACUUUUUACUAUAUCGAACCAAACAGGAUGCACGAAAUUAUAACUGUUAUAUUUCUAAUUGCAUGUAUAUUCAAUUACACUGUAUUUAUAAUUAUAUCAAACUAAAUUAUUUAUAUAUGCUAAUACAUCAGCAACAAUAAUAAUUAUUUUAUAUUGUGAUUCAUCCUCAUAAAAUUAAUGC